Molecule: ribosomal RNA, 1158 nt
Filed under: uncultured fungus
Lineage: Eukaryota; Fungi
Description: eukaryotic LSU rRNA
Rfam family: Eukaryotic large subunit ribosomal RNA (bases 526-1158)
Source: RNAcentral
AAGUCGUAACAAGGUUUCCGUAGGUGAACCUGCGGAAGGAUCAUUACUGGGUCUGGGCCUCGUGCCCGCUACCCGCCCUUUGUCAUGAGACGCGCAAGUAACUCACAUCGCUUCGGCCCCGGGCGAUACCCUCCGUUGACUCGGAGGGGUACCCCGCGGCCGGUCACAAACCCAAACGUAUCAUGAAGUCUGAACAAAUGAUAAACGAAAAGCAAAACUUUCAACAACGGAUCUCUUGGUUCUGGCAACGAUGAAGAACGCAGCGAAAUGCGAUAAUUAAUGUGAAUUGCAGAAUUCAGUGAAUCAUCGAAUCUUUGAACGCACAUUGCGCCCCCUGGUAUUCCGGGGGGCACGCCUGUCCGAGCGCCAUUACACCCCCCAAGCUUCGCUUGAUGUUGGGCCAUGGUACGCUACCAGACCCCAAACCUCUAGGCGCCCCCCGCUGGCCGCGAGCGUAGCAAGAAUUUAUUCCUCGCUCCGCGUGUCCAUCGGGUCGGCUGCCUCUGAAACCCAUUUUACACGGUUUGGCCUCGGAUCAGGCGGGGAUACCCGCUGAACUUAAGCAUAUCAAUAAGCGGAGGAAAAGAAACCAACAGGGAUUGCCCCAGUAACGGCGAGUGAAGCGGCAAUAGCUCAAAUUUGAAAUCUGGCGCCUUCGGCGUCCGAGUUGUAAUUUGUAGAGGAUGUCUCGGGUGGAGAACCGGUCCGAGUUCCUUGGAACAGGAUGUCAUAGAGGGUGAGAAUCCCGUAUCCGGCCGGUCCCCUCCCCCACUGUGAGACUCCUUCGACGAGUCGAGUUGUUUGGGAAUGCAGCUCCAAAUGGGUGGUAAAUUCCAUCUAAAGCUAAAUACUGGCCAGAGACCGAUAGCGCACAAGUAGAGUGAUCGAAAGAUGAAAAGCACUUUGAAAAGAGAGUUAAAAAGUACGUGAAAUUGUUGAAAGGGAAGCGUAUGCGGCUAGACUUAUCCGCGGUUGCUCAGCCCUCCUUCUGGUGGGUGUACUCUUCCGCGGCUAGGCCAGCAUCGGUUUUGGCGGCCAGAUAAAGACGUCGGGAACGUGGCCCCCCUCGGGGGGUGUUAUAGCCCGUCGUGCAAUGUGGUCAGCCGGGACCGAGGCCCGCGUUCUGCUAGGAUGCUGGCGUAAUGGCCGUAUACGGCC